UCUCUCUCUCUCUCCCCUAAUAUGUGACAUGGUUCUCCCUCUUUAAUGUGGAGUGUAUCCCAACCUCUCUCUAUUUCUUUCUCCCUUCCUCCCAAUGCUAUCCCUAAUAUGUGAUAUAGGUCCUUCUCCCUCUUUUUGGUGGAGUGGAUCCCUCUGUCUUUCUCUAUCUCUCUCUCUCCUACUUUUUGUCCCCAAUAUGUGAUAUGGGUUCUUCUACUCUCUCUCUGUCUUUUUUUAUGGGGUGAAUCACAAACUCUGUCUCGUGGGAUGAGUGAGAAAAUUGAAAUUUGGGUGUCCGGAAGUGAUAAUCAAUAGCAAGCAACAGCCAUGGACGAGUCUUAAGAAGAGUACUAUAGGUAGAAGCAUACCUGCCACAUGGACUUCUCCUUUCAUCCGUAUUUUCAGUGAUGGGUAGAAGCUGAAAGAUCUUAUUACCUAGGAAGAAGACUCUGGUGCAAGUACAAAUUCAUAACUCAUCUCACUCCAUAUUCAGUUUCAUAUCUCAUCCAAGUUUCUCUCAUCUUGUUAGAGGCCUUCCAAGGCUACAACCCCACUCUUGCUGCUGGUUUGAAAGGUGCGUGAUCGAAUCCAUGUACACCAUGUGGUCCCCACCAUGCAUGUGCAGUAUUGAUGAAUGGCUAAGAUGUGUACAUGGUGGUGGGCCCCACUUGAUGAAUGGCAUUUUAUAAGCACCCAAUUGAAAAUUUUUAAAAGUGCGCGAGCAUGUAUUGAUUAUACAAGUGUGGUUCACCUCAUGACGACCUGAGUGACCUCAUGUGGGAGAGGCAGGCCAAAGGGGCGUAAAUGGUGGGCCCCACCUGAUGAACGGCGCACACGUGUGGCAUUUCAUAAGCACUGAAUUGAAAUUUUUUUUAAAGUGCAUGAGCAUUGAUUAUACAAGUAUGGUUCACCUGAUGAUGACCUGACUGACCUCAUGUGGGUGAGGCAGGCCAAAGACGUACGCGGUGGGCCCUACCUUAUGAACGGCACACGUGUGGUAUUUUAUAAGCACCCAAUUGAAAAUUUUGAAAGUGCAUGAGAUCAUUUUGAUUUCUUUAUCUACCAUACUUGUAGCUUUUCAUCUCCUCGUCCAUUUCAAUAACACAUUAUUAUAUUCACAGUAGGAGAGCUUGGAACUUGAUUUUAUUUAUGUUGUUGACGCUUUGGUUGGUUAUUUAUAGAAUUUCUUGGAAUCCUUC
This is a long non-coding RNA of Magnolia sinica, 1199 nucleotides long. RefSeq lists it as uncharacterized. Lineage: Eukaryota; Viridiplantae; Streptophyta; Magnoliopsida; Magnoliales; Magnoliaceae. The transcript is spliced from 2 exons. The record is from RefSeq and is a predicted model, not a curated record.